This is a long non-coding RNA of Choloepus didactylus (southern two-toed sloth), 437 nucleotides long. RefSeq lists it as uncharacterized. Lineage: Eukaryota; Metazoa; Chordata; Mammalia; Pilosa; Megalonychidae. The record is from RefSeq and is a predicted model, not a curated record. The transcript has 3 exons.
CUGAAAAAUUUACCGUCGCGUCUACUUCUCAUUGAGCUCGAGGGCCAGGUGAAUAGAGAAGCAGAAAAGGCUGAAGCACGUGAAUAAAGGAUAUGCUUUGUGCUUGAAAUCCUCACGAACCAAUUCCAAUACAGAGCCAAAGAAGGAAGAGGAUGCUGAAAACUGUAGUUUCAGCUUAGUCACAGACUCCAUGAAAAAGUUUUCCUCAACUCGCAGGUCGUAGAAAAAGUUUGCUUUUAUCUUUUGGACACCAUGAAUGACAUAACUGAUCAUGUUUCUUUCACUGCUCAGGACCAAAUUUUGCAGACCACAUCUUAUAACCGUAUAGGUGCUGUGACAUUCAUUUUCCAUGCUAAUCUUCCUCCGGCUUUAUUUUCUUUUUCUUGUUGCCCUCCCCUCAAUUACUUGUUUUAUUCUGUUGCAUAUAUUUUCAUAAG